This 62-nucleotide transfer RNA is filed under the name Dendroctonus rufipennis (spruce beetle). Its description in RNAcentral is "tRNA-Glu". It matches the Rfam family "tRNA". Rfam says of the family: Transfer RNA (tRNA) molecules are approximately 80 nucleotides in length. Their secondary structure includes four short double-helical elements and three loops (D, anti-codon, and T loops). The record is from RNAcentral. Lineage: Eukaryota; Metazoa; Arthropoda; Insecta; Coleoptera; Curculionidae.
AUUUAUAUAGUUUAAAAAACAUUACAUUUUCACUGUAAAAUUAUACUUUUGUAUUAUAAAUA